This 73-nucleotide transfer RNA is filed under the name Stegodyphus dumicola. Its description in RNAcentral is "tRNA-Thr". It matches the Rfam family "tRNA". Rfam says of the family: Transfer RNA (tRNA) molecules are approximately 80 nucleotides in length. The record is from RNAcentral. Lineage: Eukaryota; Metazoa; Arthropoda; Arachnida; Araneae; Eresidae.
GCCUUCGUGGUGUAGUGGUUAGCACGCUCGACGCGUAUUCGAGAGGUCCGUGGUUCGAGUCCCGGCGAGGGCA